GAGAAGCUGGCGUUCGGAGCCAGCCUUUCCAGCCUCACUCCUCGUGGCUUGUCCUCGCAGUGGGUGCAGGUUGCAGGAACAGCCGGGACAGAUGGUCCCUCUGCGGGCCCCUCGCCUCCACCCACAUGCCUGUCUGGAAAGUGGCUUUGGCUUAGCUGUACCAGAGCUUCUUCCUGGAGGAAACUCAAAGCCAAUUGUUGGGAAGUAUCUGCGGGGACUGUGUCCAGGGGCAGAGGGCCCACCCAGGGUACCUCGUGGAGAAGGGAGAGAAGGGAGACCAGGGCAUCCCUGGUGUGCCAGGCCUCGACAACUGCGCCCAGUGCUUUUUGUCACUGGAGCGCCCAAGAGCCGAGGAGGCCCGGGGUGACAACAGUGAGGGAGAUCCUGGCUGUGUUGGGAGCCCAGGCCUACCUGGUCCUCCGGGAUUGCCAGGCCAGAGAGGAGAAGAGGGUCCGCCUGGCAUGAGGGGCUCCCCGGGUCCUCCAGGCCCUAUCGGCCCCCCAGGUUUUCCUGGUGCUGUUGGCUCCCCCGGAUUGCCUGUAAGAACCUAGCGCUGCUCGACCUCCCCUCCCCCCCGUCAGCCAGGGCCUUCAAGGAGAGCGAGGUCUCACGGGCCUGACUGGAGACAAGGGGGAGCCGGGUCCUCCAGGGCAACCAGGUUACCCAGGUGCCACGGGCCCCCCAGGACUGCCUGGCAUCAAGGGGGAGCGUGGCUACACCGGGUCAGCGGGAGAGAAAGG
Molecule: long non-coding RNA, 740 nt
Filed under: Homo sapiens (human)
Lineage: Eukaryota; Metazoa; Chordata; Mammalia; Primates; Hominidae
Description: non-protein coding lnc-PEF1-3:1
Source: RNAcentral